GACGAACGCUGGCGGCGUGCUUAACACAUGCAAGUCGAACGGAAAGGCCCUGCUUUUGUGGGGUGCUCGAGUGGCGAACGGGUGAGUAACACGUGAGUAACCUGCCCUUGACUUUGGGAUAACUUCAGGAAACUGGGGCUAAUACCGGAUAGGAGCUCCUGCUGCAUGGUGGGGGUUGGAAAGUUUCGGCGGUUGGGGAUGGACUCGCGGCUUAUCAGCUUGUUGGUGGGGUAGUGGCUUACCAAGGCUUUGACGGGUAGCCGGCCUGAGAGGGUGACCGGCCACAUUGGGACUGAGAUACGGCCCAGACUCCUACGGGAGGCAGCAGUGGGGAAUAUUGCACAAUGGGCGGAAGCCUGAUGCAGCAACGCCGCGUGCGGGAUGACGGACUUCGGGUUGUAACCCGCUUUCGCCUGUGACGAAGCGUGAGUGACGGUAAUGGGUAAAGAAGCACCGGCUAACUACGUG
Molecule: ribosomal RNA, 468 nt
Filed under: uncultured bacterium
Lineage: Bacteria
Description: partial 16S ribosomal RNA
Rfam family: Bacterial small subunit ribosomal RNA
Source: RNAcentral